CCUACGGGUGGCUGCAGUGGGGAAUAUUGCACAAUGGGCGCAAGCCUGAUGCAGCCAUGCCGCGUGUGUGAAGAAGGCCUUCGGGUUGUAAAGCACUUUCAGCGGGGAGGAAGGCGUUAAGGUUAAUAACCUUGGCGAUUGACGUUACCCGCAGAAGAAGCACCGGCUAACUCCGUGCCAGCAGCCGCGGUAAUACGGAGGGUGCAAGCGUUAAUCGGAAUUACUGGGCGUAAAGCGCACGCAGGCGGUCUGUCAAGUCGGAUGUGAAAUCCCCGGGCUCAACCUGGGAACUGCAUUCGAAACUGGCAGGCUAGAGUCUUGUAGAGGGGGGUAGAAGUCCAGGUGUAGCGGUGAAAUGCGUAGAGAUCUGGAGGAAUACCGGUGGCGAAGGCGGCCCCCUGGACAAAGACUGACGCUCAGGUGCGAAAGCGUGGGGAGCAAACAGGAUCAGAUACCCCUGUAGUC
RNAcentral lists this ribosomal RNA (465 nucleotides) under uncultured Klebsiella sp. RNAcentral's name for it is "bacterial SSU rRNA". It matches the Rfam family "Bacterial small subunit ribosomal RNA", at positions 338 to 795 of the family's 1533-position model. Lineage: Bacteria; Pseudomonadati; Pseudomonadota; Gammaproteobacteria; Enterobacterales; Enterobacteriaceae. The record is from RNAcentral.